Humulus lupulus (European hop) is the source of this 91-nucleotide small nucleolar RNA. RefSeq annotates it as small nucleolar RNA R11/Z151. The record is from RefSeq and is a predicted model, not a curated record. Lineage: Eukaryota; Viridiplantae; Streptophyta; Magnoliopsida; Rosales; Cannabaceae. The transcript has a single exon.
GGGCUUAUGAUGAUAACAUUAAUUAUUUUAGCAGAUUUCAGUGAGACUUUAUAGUCAAUGAUCUGAAUGUUAUGAUGAUAACAUGGAGUUU